CGUGCGCUGGAUUAUGAC
This 18-nucleotide small nuclear RNA is filed under the name Arabidopsis thaliana (thale cress). RNAcentral's name for it is "snRNA_14635". Lineage: Eukaryota; Viridiplantae; Streptophyta; Magnoliopsida; Brassicales; Brassicaceae. The record is from RNAcentral.